RNAcentral lists this unclassified non-coding RNA (356 nucleotides) under soil metagenome. Its description in RNAcentral is "partial contains 5.8S ribosomal RNA, internal transcribed spacer 2, and large subunit ribosomal RNA". The stretch from base 1 to 120 matches the Rfam family "5.8S ribosomal RNA", at positions 35 to 154 of the family's 154-position model. The record is from RNAcentral.
GAUGAAGAACGUAGCGAAAUGCGAUAAGUAAUGCGAAUUGCAGAAUUCAGUGAAUCAUCGAAUCUUUGAACGCACAUUGCGCCCGCCAGUACUCUGGCGGGCAUGCCUGUCUGAGCGUCAUUUCAACCCUCGCGCCCGGCUUCUGUCGGGGGCGGUGUUGGGGAUCGGCCUCCCGUCUUCCGGGCGGCCGGCCCCUAAAUGGAGUGGCGACCGCGCCGUAGCCUCCUCUGCGUAGUAGUGAAACACUCGCGGGCGGAGAGCGGUGCGGCCCGCCGUAAAACCCCCAACUCUUCUAAGGUUGACCUCAGAUCAGGUAGGAAUACCCGCUGAACUUAAGCAUAUCGAUAAGCGGAGGA